RNAcentral lists this ribosomal RNA (762 nucleotides) under fungal sp. Its description in RNAcentral is "eukaryotic LSU rRNA". The stretch from base 469 to 762 matches the Rfam family "Eukaryotic large subunit ribosomal RNA", at positions 1 to 302 of the family's 3401-position model. The record is from RNAcentral. Lineage: Eukaryota; Fungi.
AUUAAAAAACGAGUUGCGAGACUCGAAAACCAUCGCGAACGUUACCUCGUCGUCGUUGCUUCGGCGGGUGGCCCCGCGAGGGCGCCCGCCGGAGGAGCGCAAACACUCUGUUUUCUUAGCGCCUCUCUGAGUGGAUACAGCGAAAUAAAUCAAAACUUUCAACAACGGAUCUCUUGGUUCUGGCAUCGAUGAAGAACGCAGCGAAAUGCGAUAAGUAAUGUGAAUUGCAGAAUUCAGUGAAUCAUCGAAUCUUUGAACGCACAUUGCGCCCGCUAGUAUUCUGGCGGGCAUGCCUGUUCGAGCGUCAUUUCAACCCCUCAAGCUCCGCUUGGUGCUGGGGCCCUACGUGCGCCGUAGGCCCCGAAUUACAGUGGCGGGCUCGCCGCGAUCCCGAGCGUAGUAACACACCUCGCUCUGGGGCUCCGCGGCGGGUGCCGGCCGUGAAAACGACCAACACAAACGCAAGGUUGACCUCGGAUCAGGUAGGAAUACCCGCUGAACUUAAGCAUAUCAAUAAGCGGAGGAAAAGAAACCAACAGGGAUUGCCCCAGUAACGGCGAGUGAAGCGGCAACAGCUCAAAUUUGAAAUCCGGCCUCGGCCCGAGUUGUAAUUUGCAGAGGAUGCUUUUGGUGCGGCGCCUACUGAGUCCCCUGGAACGGGGCGCCAGAGAGGGUGAGAGCCCCGUAUAGUAGGACGCCUAGCCUGUGUAAAGCUCCUUCGACGAGUCGAGUAGUUUGGGAUGCUGCUCAAACGGGAGGUAA